UAGUAUUCUAGGGCUAAUACAUGAGAAAGUCCUCUGGUGAGGUGUGUUUAUUAUAAUGAAAACCAUAUGCUUCGGCAUGAUAGUGAGUAAUAGUAACCUAUCGUAUCGCAUGCUUAAUGUAGCGAUGAGUCUUUCAAGUUUCUGCCCUAUCAUCUUUCGAUGGUAGUAUAUGGGCCUACCAUGGCAGUAACGGGUAACGAA
RNAcentral lists this ribosomal RNA (201 nucleotides) under Blastocystis sp. subtype 1. Its description in RNAcentral is "partial 18S ribosomal RNA". It matches the Rfam family "Eukaryotic small subunit ribosomal RNA", at positions 150 to 366 of the family's 1831-position model. The record is from RNAcentral. Lineage: Eukaryota; Bigyra; Opalinata; Blastocystidae.